CUCUGGGCCCGCCUGUAGGCUCAGGGCAGAAAGAG
Molecule: non-coding RNA, 35 nt
Filed under: Paenibacillus darwinianus
Lineage: Bacteria; Bacillati; Bacillota; Bacilli; Caryophanales; Paenibacillaceae
Source: RNAcentral